AACUUUUAACAACGGAUCUCUUGGUUCUGGCAUCCGAUGAAGAACGCAGCGAAAUGCGAUAAGUAAUGUGAAUUGCAGAAUUCAGUGAAUCAUCGAAUCUUUGAACGCACAUUGCGCCCGCCAGCAUUCUGGCGGGCAUGCCUGUUCGAGCGUCAUUUCA
Molecule: ribosomal RNA, 160 nt
Filed under: Colletotrichum cereale
Lineage: Eukaryota; Fungi; Ascomycota; Sordariomycetes; Glomerellales; Glomerellaceae
Description: 5.8S ribosomal RNA
Rfam family: 5.8S ribosomal RNA
About the family: 5.8S ribosomal RNA (5.8S rRNA) is a component of the large subunit of the eukaryotic ribosome.
Source: RNAcentral